Molecule: ribosomal RNA, 403 nt
Filed under: bacterium
Lineage: Bacteria
Description: partial 16S ribosomal RNA
Rfam family: Bacterial small subunit ribosomal RNA
Source: RNAcentral
UGGGGAAUAUUGCACAAUGGGGGAAACCCUGAUGCAGCGACGCCGCGUGAACGAAGAAGGUAUUCGUAUCGUAAAGUUCUGUCCUAUGGGAAGAUAAUGACAGUACCAUAGAAGAAAGCUCCGGCUAAAUACGUGCCAGCAGCCGCGGUAAUACGUAGGGAGCGAGCGUUGUCCGGAAUUAUUGGGCGUAAAGGGUACGCAGGCGGUUUAAUAAGUCGAAUGUUAAAGAUCGGGGCUCAACCCCGCAAAGCAUUGGAAACUGAUAAACUUGAAUAGUGGAGAGGGAAGUGGAAUUCCUAGUGUAGUGGUGAAAUACGUAGAUAUUAGGAGGAAUACCAGUAGCGAAGGCGACUUUCUGGACACAAAAUGACGCUGAGGUACGAAAGCGUGGGGAGCAAACAGG